Molecule: ribosomal RNA, 426 nt
Filed under: Puma concolor (puma)
Lineage: Eukaryota; Metazoa; Chordata; Mammalia; Carnivora; Felidae
Description: partial 16S ribosomal RNA
Rfam family: Bacterial large subunit ribosomal RNA
Source: RNAcentral
UUGUGCAAAGGUAGCAUAAUCAUUUGUUCCCUAAAUAGGGACUUGUAUGAAUGGCCACACGAGGGCUUUACUGUCUCUUACUUCCAAUCCGUGAAAUUGACCUUCCCGUGAAGAGGCGGGAAUACAACAAUAAGACGAGAAGACCCUAUGGAGCUUUAAUUAACCGACCCAAAGAGACCCAUUAAUUUCAACCGACAGGAACAACAAACCUCUAUAUGGGCCGACAAUUUAGGUUGGGGUGACCUCGGAGAACAGAACAACCUCCGAGUGAUUUAAAUCAAGACUAACCAGUCGAAAGUAUUACAUCACUUAUUGAUCCAAAAGUUUGAUCAACGGAACAAGUUACCCUAGGGAUAACAGCGCAAUCCUAUUUCAGAGUCCAUAUCGACAAUAGGGUUUACGACCUCGAUGUUGGAUCAGGACAAA